RNAcentral lists this ribosomal RNA (498 nucleotides) under uncultured Erysipelotrichaceae bacterium. RNAcentral's name for it is "partial 16S ribosomal RNA". Lineage: Bacteria; Bacillati; Bacillota; Erysipelotrichia; Erysipelotrichales; Erysipelotrichaceae. The record is from RNAcentral.
CACGUAGUUAGCCGUGACUUCCUCGCCGGGUACCAUCGCUCAGAAAGCUUUCCACUCUUUCUGUCCUUUUGUCCCCGGCAACAGAGCUUUACGAUCCGAAGACCUUCCUCGCUCACGCGGCAUUGCUCGUUCACGGGUUCCCCCCAUUGACGAAAAUUCCCUACUGCUGCCUCCCGCAGGAGUCUGGGCCGUGUCUCAGUCCCAGUGUGGCCGUCCGCCCUCUCAGGCCGGCUAUGCAUCGUCGCCUCGGUGAGCCGUUACCUCUCCAACCAGCUAAUGCACCGCAGGUCCAUCUGCAUGCGGGACUCUUCGUCCCCUUUUACCAAAAAGAAGAUGCCUCCUCUUUGCUCAUCCGGUAUCAGUCUUUCCGUUUCCAGUAAGUUCCUCCCGCUCAUGCAGGCACGGUUCCCUACGUUGUUACCUCCUACCCCGUUCGCCCUACUCCAUACUCCGAAGAUUACUCCGUUUCGACUUUGCAUUGUAUUAGGCUAUCGCCCG